This is a long non-coding RNA of Cololabis saira (Pacific saury), 434 nucleotides long. RefSeq lists it as uncharacterized. The record is from RefSeq and is a predicted model, not a curated record. NCBI's taxonomy places the organism in Eukaryota, Metazoa, Chordata, Actinopteri, Beloniformes, Belonidae. The transcript has 4 exons.
UAUAAAUACGAUGUCGCCAUAUUGUGACGUUCCAUGUUGCUAGGAUCCGUGGUUCUCGGUUCUCCUACUCGACAUGAGGGCUAAGUGGAGAAAGAAGCGCAUGCGCAGGCUGAAGCGCAAAAGAAGAAAGAUGAGGCAGAGGUCCAAGUGAGCUGUCCUCUCCGUAAUGGCUGUGGUGUCGCAUUUUGCCCUGCAACUCCAGCAGUGACCACAGCAGGAGAGCCAGGAUCCUCCUCGUCAACUCUGAAGGCCAGAGGUGUCUACAUCAGCCAGAAGUUGGAGACGCUGAGCGAUGCUAGAGAAAUCACCCAACACCUGUCGGCUGUCAGGAAUUUACUCUAGGACACUCUGCGCCCUUGUUUCUUGAUUCCUCAACUUUUGUCAUUUGUUUUUGUUUCAUAUUUUGAUGAUUAAAGUUUUUGGUUUUUAAAAGA